Molecule: ribosomal RNA, 681 nt
Filed under: Salmonella enterica subsp. enterica serovar Infantis
Lineage: Bacteria; Pseudomonadati; Pseudomonadota; Gammaproteobacteria; Enterobacterales; Enterobacteriaceae
Description: partial 23S ribosomal RNA
Rfam family: Bacterial large subunit ribosomal RNA
Source: RNAcentral
AGACCCGAAACCCGGUGAUCUAGCCAUGGGCAGGUUGAAGGUUGGGUAACACUAACUGGAGGACCGAACCGACUAAUGUUGAAAAAUUAGCGGAUGACCUGUGGCUGGGGGUGAAAGGCCAAUCAAACCGGGAGAUAGCUGGUUCUCCCCGAAAGCUAUUUAGGUAGCGCCUCGUGAAUUCAUCUCCGGGGGUAGAGCACUGUUUCGGCUAGGGGGCCAUCCCGGCUUACCAACCCGAUGCAAACUGCGAAUACCGGAGAAUGUUAUCACGGGAGACACACGGCGGGUGCUAACGUCCGUCGUGAAGAGGGAAACAACCCAGACCGCCAGCUAAGGUCCCAAAGUCAUGGUUAAGUGGGAAACGAUGUGGGAAGGCCCAGACAGCCAGGAUGUUGGCUUAGAAGCAGCCAUCAUUUAAAGAAAGCGUAAUAGCUCACUGGUCGAGUCGGCCUGCGCGGAAGAUGUAACGGGGCUAAACCAUGCACCGAAGCUGCGGCAGCGACACUCAGGUGUUGUUGGGUAGGGGAGCGUUCUGUAAGUCUGCGAAGGUGGCCUGUGAGGGUUGCUGGAGGUAUCAGAAGUGCGAAUGCUGACAUAAGUAACGAUAAAGCGGGUGAAAAGCCCGCUCGCCGGAAGACCAAGGGUUCCUGUCCAACGUUAAUCGGGGCAGGGUGAGUCGAC